GUCCAGUGUGAAGCUCCAACACACAUCAGAGUCCUGCAGACACAUGGACUUCAUCUUUUGCAGAGGAGUUUAUCCAGUUUAACUUGGCCCAGCUGAUGCCAGCAGCUGCACCAUUCCCACUGGUCACCAAGGUCCUAACCAGCAUACUUCUGUGUUCAGGAAGUCCUGCUCUCAUCUGUUCAGUCUGGUAACUGAAAGUGCAAAGAGGCAAUUAGGUUCACAAUUAGCCCAUUAGCUAGUGCACUAUCAGGGUCAGAUCUAAGUGUUGGCAUGUCCAAGGCUGAGAGGUUGGCCUAUAGAAACAUCUAUCUGUAUUACAUAUUAAAGUAUCUGCCAUGGCUUUUGCCAGUGUUUCUACAUUACCAUCCCGUGUUUGAACUGUAACUUUGCUGGAGAAGAAAGAUGUUUCACAUAAAACAAUAAGGGUUGGCAAGGAUAUCCUAGUCAAAACACAGUGCCUAAUAUACAUGCAAAUAUUUGUGAUUCAGUAAGCCUUUGGAGCAGCAUCACUUUAAGGAAAUCACGUUUGAAAUGCUCCCAAAUUGAGCCAUUAAUGUUUUUAUCCUUAUUGUGCUGUAUGAUUUAUCCUUCAGUGCUCAAGGUAAUGAAGUGUUAACCCACUGUGUGCAAAUGGGAUGGAAGUAGGAAAACAGUUUUCUCUGUUCAUAUUUACACAGCUUGUACUUAUUCUCUUUCAAAGUCAAAAUUGUGGUUAAGAUUAGAAAACACAAAUAUGGCAUUUUAUUGUGCUGAAGGAAGGAGCUGCAACCAAAGUAAACGUGCUGUAAGUUCAUAUUUCAUCGGAAAAGGCUUGAUCAAUAUCUUAUUUUAAUGUAUAAGGUAAUGGGACAUAAAAAGCAUUUAAAGGCCACUUGAAGAACUGUUAUUAUAUACUUUACAUAGCUUGAUACAUGCAUUUAGAGAAAAUGGAGCAUAACACACAUCUUCAAGGUUUUGGAUUUCUAAAGCGUAACUGCAAUGUGAGGAAUUGUUUUCCACGGGUGCCAAUGGCUCUCCCUUGGUGCUGGACAAGCAGCUAUGAAAAGUGAACAUCUCCAUAAGGCCAUGGCCAUGGCAUGAGGAAACCUCUACCACUUUGGCAAACAGCAUACAAGUCCAACGUAGGCCAUAGUAUGUAAAUUAUUUUACUUGAUUUUAGCUUCAAUUUAGCUGGUGUUGAUUGGUGUCAUUGCAUGGGAGCAACCAAACUUUGGCUGCACACAAUGGAGAAAAUGCCAAUGGAACAAACAGAGCUCUCAGAGUUUGUAGUACUGUUCACUUUCAAAACCAUCUACUAUUCAGUAUGAAAAAUAGGCUGCUUUUUGCAUUUUACUUUAUCUUGUAAAUGAGCCUUUUUCCCAUUAAUUAUGGUAGGUUGGGUGUGUGCUGCUCUACCAUAUACAUAUAGUCUUUUGUCAUCAAUUUCUAUUAAAACAACCUUUUAAAGGUAAAAAUAUAUAUCCCUUUGGGGUUCUGCUUAAAUAUUUUAAAGGCAUGCUAUGUUCAAAAUGACAGCUCCGAUAUGUAAUGCAGUUAAUACUUAACAUUUCAAAACUCAACCUUUGUUGUGCAACUUAAGAGAGAACCUGGCAGACAAGAAAAACUUAUUCAUGACCCACUGAAAAAAAGAAUUGAGGAUUUCAGUUCCUUGAUCUUCCACGGAUCUCCUCCAGCCUGGGAAAACCUAAAAAGAUUUACAGCCCACUUUAUAACAUAUUUUCUAUAAAGCUCAGAUUCUGGUUUGGAAAAGUUUUAUCUCUGCUUUCAAUUGCAUUAACCUCAUCUUUCUUUGAGAAUAGGAUUUCUGAGAUACUUCUUUCCAUCUGCAGUAUAGGAACAGGAAUGCUACUUGCCUUCGAUCUAGCCUUGCAUUUUGAAGUUUUACUUUUAUGUUUGUCUGUCACUUUGUAUUUGUAUAGGCCCUUGUACAAUCAGGCAUUCAUCCCUGCUAAACUCUCAUUCUUCAGGUACUGUGCAGUGAAUACGCGUUUGGAAUUAAAAUUAAUUUUGAAUUAAUAGAAAACGAAUUGCAAACUAAAACUUAUCAUACAUUUCAUACAGUAGUGCGUGAAAAUUAAUUAAGAUUAUGAAAAAUAACUAUGUGCUUUCUUGGUAAUGUGGCACUUUAAAUGCAUUUUCGUCAGCUGAAAACAGAACAUUGAAUUGACAAUAAAUAGCUUUCAUUAAUAUCAUUCUAUAUACGUCUUUCAGAAAGUUUAUUAAUUCUAGUGAGCGGUUUAUGCAACUGUGAGCUAACAUGCAACAUUUCCUUCUGUGACAUUUGAAAAAAUCAGAAACUGAAUCCCAAUAACAGCUGCCUCCUCUGCAAUAAACAUCUGUUUGGCACAAAUUUAGUAUUUAUGUUAUGUAUGAUAAAUAUACACACUUGCAUGCAGCAGUCUGACUUUUGCAAUUUGCCACUCAGGUGGAUAAUUGUAUUGUCCUCAUUGGGAUUGUAACAGGGCUACCAGAUGAAUAUCCAGCUGCUUCCAUCCCUUUGAAGGAAAGGAACACAAACCUGCAGCCUUAGCUCCCACCCGUGCUACAGAAGGGGUUCAGCAUUCAGUCUGGUUUAGCAGCAGAUUGGCAAGGUGACAUAACAACUAUUUACGAGUCUAUGUGCUGUCUGAAGUUACUAAGGUAACUAAAUUGCACAGCAGUCUGCUUGGAAGUCCCUAAGAAGAUAAAGUGGUCAGUGCUGCCCCACUUCGAAAACAUCAGCCCUGCUUUCUGAAGAAUAUCGCUGACUGGCUGAAACGUUGCCCAUGCAACAUUCGCUCUUCAGCUGUACUUCUCACAGUGGCUUCAGAUGAAGAAGGAACAAGACCCAGGGAAGUGUUUGGACAUCUGCAUCCUCCAAGUAUAAGACCAACCAGAGCAGCUCCUGUUUGCAUAAGAUUUGUACACCGUUAUCACUGAAAGAAUAAAUAUUUCAACGUGAGAGGGAUCCUCAGCUGGCAAAGCUGUAUCUAACAGAGGGCUGUGAACAAGCUCCAUGCAAUUGAGAAGGAUGUUGGUUGAAACGAACUGGAGGUCUUCCACUUUAACAUGGAUUUUAUGCUUGGUGACAUGCGGACAGCACUGGCACGAGGAUGAUUUCAGUCCCUGAUACAUCAGUAAAAACAAAGGGGUUGUUUAAACUCAGCAUUGAAAUAAAUGAAAUAAAAGCUGAGCUGUUGUCUGGUGUCUUCGUGUACUUGGUGGUUGUUGUUCUAGAAGGGGUAAGGAAGCUGCUGGCAGCACGCAACACAUAGCAAUUUCAACGCUUGAAAGGAGUAAAUAGACGGCAGGAGGGCAGGGGGCCCGAGGCACUUUAAGGCCUUCAGUGCCCCGCCCCAACUGUUAACGAGCUCAUUAACAGCCAUUGCACCUUUCUCCUUUAUACCCAUCCCAGGGCAGUGGGUUUUAGAGGGAGUAGAGAUUAUCUCGCCGUGAAGAGCUGUGUUCUUUGACGGGUGGCUGCCCGGGAGCCCAGGUAGGCUUAUAUGAAACUGGGGGGGGUCCCCUGAGCUCAGCGUGGGGUGGGAUGGUGGUCUCUUGUAGUGGUGUUUGGUGAGCAAUCGGAUGGCUUUUGGUUUCGAACCCUGAUGGAGUUAAUGCAGCAAAGUGUGUGAAAGUAAAUAACUCCUGGCUAUAGAAAAAAAAAAAGUGCCGGUCCGAUGUGGGUUCCUGCGUCAUUGAGUGUCUGGGUGCUGGAAAACGAAAAGCACAACGCGCUUGUCUGAAAAGGACGAAUGAAGGGAAAAUGUCUCUUAGGAUGCUUGAGUGGGAAGAUGUUACAAGCCAUUAUCUGGUGUGUCUGAACUCCUUUCUGCGCGUGGGAGGGCGUAUUUGUGAAGCGGUACGGGAUAGUCAAUAAAACCUACGCAAACA
Non-coding RNA from Coturnix japonica (Japanese quail), 3873 nucleotides. The record is from RefSeq and is a predicted model, not a curated record. Lineage: Eukaryota; Metazoa; Chordata; Aves; Galliformes; Phasianidae.